UCAUGUUAUCUCAUUUUAGCGAGACGGCUACGAUGUUCUCGUGUUUAGAUUCACAAACUGGUCACAGCAGUUUGAUUUGUGCCCGGCGAAUGAAUUGCUAAGUCUGCUAAACGAAGUUCAACAACGCGCUGCCACAGACGGACCAGUCGUGAUUCAGUGCCAUGACGGGUACAGUCGCAGUGGUCUAGUGGCAGUGCUUUGGUGUCUAAUGGAGCGCAGUAAACAUGACGGGGAAGUGGCCGUUGCAGAAACAGUACGAUUAAUCAGGCGAAGGAGGCAGCAAGUCAUACGUAACGAGGAACAAUACCGUUUCUGCCAUGAAUUCAUGAAGAGCUUUGUCGAGGGGUGUGCAGUUUAUACAAAAACAUGAUGUGUUUAUGACAAAAACAAACCUUCCUGACGUUUAGGAAACGGAGGGGAAACUGAAAUAAGAUAAGGAACAAAUCGUGUUAUUGACAUAAAAAACCCUCAGAUGAAGCAAUCCACAUAUCUUGCUUUUCUAAUUAUAUGUGUUUUAUACAUGUGCCUAAAUUAUCGGACCGUCAUGUAAACUGAUAUUGAAAUGUAGAAUAAAGUAUACUAUUAUUUACAUGUUAAUAGCUAGAAUCUAUUUAUAAUAAACGGACGUGAAUAAGAGACCGUUAAUGCAAUAUUUUACAAUCAUUUUGUCUGUCAUCAAUCACCUUUAAACGAAAGCAUUAAUAUGUAACGAUCGUUGGGGUUUCAUUUGUUUGUGAAAACUUGCAAUUGACAUAAGUGUAUUUAAAUGCUUCAUAAAAAACGUUGAUGACACGUUUACAUCACAUUGAUGUUUGAAUUGUAUCAAUGGAGAUGAUAACGCACACACCGAACUGAUACUCGAAGAUAUUCACAAAUCUAUGUGAGUGGUCCACACAAUGUUGAGUUGUUUUUAAUUUUAAAGCCAUGUGGUCACUCGAAUAAAAGAAAAUCAUGGUUUUACACAGAUUUCCCUUUUGAUAUUGUUUCCGGUGUUUUAUUAUUCCUUAAUAUUAUAUUCAGCGUUUCUACAACAUGUUUUGCAACUUCACAUACGCAUAUCGUUAUAUACAUUGUUAAACAAUUAAUUUUCUUAUAUCC
Molecule: long non-coding RNA, 1098 nt
Organism: Dreissena polymorpha
Lineage: Eukaryota; Metazoa; Mollusca; Bivalvia; Myida; Dreissenidae
Exons: 3
Source: RefSeq, a predicted model, not a curated record